Molecule: ribosomal RNA, 253 nt
Filed under: uncultured bacterium
Lineage: Bacteria
Description: partial 16S ribosomal RNA
Rfam family: Bacterial small subunit ribosomal RNA
Source: RNAcentral
UACAGAGGGUGCGAGCGUUAAUCGGAAUCACUGGGCUUAAAGCGUGCGUAGGCGGAUGUGCAGGCAUGUUGUGAAAUCCCAUGGCUCAACCAUGGAAUUGCUUCGUGAACCGCAUGUCUCGAGGUAGGUAGAGGCGGUCGGAACGCUAGGUGGAGCGGUGAAAUGCGUAGAUAUCUAGCGGAACGCCGAAGGAGAAGUCAGGCCGCUGGGCCUUACCUGACGCUGAGGCACGAAAGCGUGGGGAGCAAACGGG